AAAUGAAUAAGCAUUUCUAAGUCACUUUUUAGUUCAUUUUUUUUUGUAUGUAUACAUAUGUAUAUAACAUACAAAGCCAGAUGUAAAGAAGUUCCUUGCUUGUCUUGCUGACAUCAGCUUUCUUAUGCAACUGUGAUGAAGAGGCAAUCCCAUGGUGAAAGUGCACACAGCUCAUUCCUGCAAGACUUUGCACUGUUCACAGCUCCUCCUGAACCCUGCACCCUAAGAUCCAAGCAGAAAAUAAUGAGCAAAAUAUUAGCAAAAUCCGUGGGUCUAGACAUAUCUUAAUUACCAGUUUGGACUCCAUUCUGACUGAAGAGAUGAAGUGAACAUUGGCUUUAAGUUUUCAAGUACACCCAGCUAAGCUACGCCUUCCAAACAUCAUACAUAAGGCAGGGAGUAUCCUGUUCAGUGUCAGAACAGAUGGCAGAAAGCUUGGAGGAAUUACUGCUUUGCAGGCAGGACAAAAGAACGAGAGCCCAAAUGCAGCCAGCCAGCUGAGAGCACACUGCUGCUCCUGCAAAGCUCUUCAAGGAGAAAUGCUGACACAGCCAUUUCCGGCACUAUUUGCUGCUGCAAGGAAUACUUAAGACCUGCAGAAGACCUGUUUUCAUGGAAACGUUGUCUACUAAGCAGUAGCAGACUGCUUCAUCUUAGACUUGAUCAUCACAGAGCGAAGAGGAAAACCUACAGCACUGAGAAAAGCAGUAUAGAACAUGGGCAACCAGAGGCUGUCUCAUAUUCGGGACCACCAGGUAUGAUGACCACACUGAUGGGAUAUUUCUGGGGCAAAGACAACCUACCCAACUGGAAACACACGUAUAUCGAGAGUGGCUGCUCUUGUCAAAAACUACAGUGGACUGAUUUCACUUUCCAGUGGUGGAUGGAGCAUCUCAAACCUUAGACAGAAUCCCAUCCCCUCAUCCUCCCUGCACAAAACCCCAUCUCCCCAUGGGAAGCAUGCAGGACAGAUUUCUGCUCUUUGCUGAUGUCUUUGUCCGGGCAGCUCCUCAUAGCAGCCUGCAGCUUCCUCAUGGCAGCCUAUAAGCGAUAGCCUGAGCCCUUUCAUUUCUUGUUAGCAAGCCAUAUUAGUCCCUAAAACAACUCCCCUCCACUUGCUCACCUUGAACUACAAGAACUCAUUUCUCGUUCAUCCACACAGCAUCAUAAACAGAGCCGCAGUGGCAUGAGGGGACAGCAGCAUGGGGGAAAAUGGCUCUCUUUAAUGAGAUGCAUCCCUGUCUUGCCACCCCUCCAUGUGCCCCACUGCCUCCCUCACCCUCUGCUAGGUCUGGAUCAGAAGCAGAGCACGUCUCUCCAUUCCUUUCCAAGAGACGGACCCCUGCAGAGGCGAGGAGAUUAACACCGCUGGGCUGUGCCAAACGGCAGGCUGAUUCCUCAAUGUGGGUCAUGUCCCAUGGGACCGGAGCCAAAAGCAAACCAGUCUGUCAUUGCAGAGUAUUUAUAGGAGGGCUGAACCUACCCCGCAGCCCCUGCACGGCUUCCCCACCCUUCUCAUCCGCUUGCUGAAUGCUUAAAUUUGAAACAGUUGUUGCAUGUUGUUUUAUGGCUGCUGGGGUAUGGCUGGCUGUCUCCCUUAUCGGUGUAAAACGGGGAGCUGUCAAGUGGGAGGGAACGCAUGAGUGGUUUGGUUGAAGUUUUUCAUUUCUUCUGUGCUUCUGAUUCCCCCCAAGCUGGCUUGGUUUGCAAGUGGAGACACCAGGAAUGGGUUGUAGUGGGAUGCUCUCGGCGUUGAUCCAGGGAGGACUUUCUGGUCCGAUGAGCCUGGACAUUGAAGUCCUCUGACAGAGAGCCAGAGAUACUUCAGGAGAAGAGAGGGCUUAUCUGGAGAAGAGGAGGCUCAGGGGAGACCUUAUCACUCUCUACACUACAGCUACCUGAAAGAAGGUUGUGGUGAGAACAUGUCUUGAAGACAGAAACAGGGGUUAGAAGAGCAGAUUUUACUCCUGUGAUUAAGAUGUGCACCAUUUGACUUUGGGUUGUAAAGAAAAAGAAGAAAAAAUAAAACAAGGGAAAAAAAAAAGAGUAAUGCUUUACUAAUUAAGGCACAAUUGAAAGUGAUUGGUGUGCACUGGCAAGCUGCUCCUCUCAGAAAGAGCUGGACUGACAUCUCUACAAUCACUCAGUGAGUAAGCACUGCGAAAACACUGUUUGGCCUGGAAGGAGCUAAUAAGUGCAUAGAUAAAAUCUUAUUUUGAAAGCAACAACAAAGGGCAUGUGAUUUAUAUCUUAGUUGGUGACUUCAUAUGUUUUGCAGAGUUUCUCCAAAAUAUAUCGGAAUUCAUAAUUCAUUUUUAUAACGCAUUACAUUAAAAUAAUAAAUGUCAGGAAGUUUUUCAAGAGACUGAAAAUUCUGUAAGCAGUGCUGAGUGAUCAAAGGAGGAUUUUGACAGGGAGAGACUCCCGUUGACUUGGGGCUUUGGAUCAGACCUGACGCUGGCAACAAAAUGGACAACAGUUAAUAAAAGUGUGCCUGUUAGAACUUGGAUAAGUUGGAGCAGCUAAUUGCAGCAUCUCAACACAAGUUGGGGGAAGAUGCAUGCUGGCUGGAUCCUCACCGCUGCACGUGAUGGGAUGCUGUUGCUCGUCUACAUGGCAACAACCACGGAUGAGCCAAGACAAAGGAAGUGAUAGAGGAGGUGGAGGAGAGAGCAGGGAUUAGAGGGCUGGAGGAAAAACAACUUUCAGGGGGAGAAACCAUUCCAAAACCUACAUUUAUGCAAGGAAAAGGACUGCUGAGUUAAAAGUAGUAUAUCAUUUCUGGACUUUUUCAUUUCCUACAUGUUGGAGGAGUUAUCUCUGUGUGUUUCCAUUCUUUUUCUUAAUGGAGGCAUAUAUGACGUGUUUCUCACUCAUUGUAGUAUUUCAUGUUUUCAUGAGUGUUAACAAAAGCAUGGGACAAAGCCAAAGAGGUAACUACCCACCAUACCCUAGUGCAGCUGUUUCACGUUUAUAAAACUCAUGUAUCACCAUGCAGAAUUGGUCAGUGUUUUGCCUGUCUGUACCUGCAGGGAUGUAUUUUGCUGCAAAAUGCCAUUCAGGUUUGUGGACCACAAAAUGGAGAUGGAGAUCCCACAACUUCAGUUGUAGAGCAACCAGAACUCAUUCUCUCCUCACACAUCUAGAGCUCCACUCCCAGCCAUCCUAGUGGCCUUGCUGGGCUUUUUUCUAACCAUGCUGGUGGCCUUGCUGGGUGUUUUCCUAGCUCCUGGUACUAGGGAGCUCAAGUCCAGUGCCCAGAUGUGAUCUCAGGGUCUGAGUAGAGGGGAAGAAUUAUAUCCCCUAGCUUGCUAGCUGCCCCUUUGCAAAUUCACCUCUGGAUGUGAUCAUCCUGUGCUGCAAGUGUGGAGACAUAGUAGUGAGGACCUCAUAGUCUACCAAGAUGCCCCUGGUCUAUCCAGAUGGUCCCAGCUUGUGCUGCCACAUGGGUUAUUCCUCCUCAUAUACUGAACUCUACAUUUCUCUGCGGUGAACUUCUUGAGAUUCCUGCUAAUCCUUCUCUCCACCUCAUUUCUUCGAAUAGCAUUGCUCCUCUGCACUGCAUCAAUCACUCCUUGUUUGUGUGUCCUCUGCAGACUUGCUGAGAGGGCAGCCUGUUCACUGCCUAAGGGCUGCUUGAGCUGCCAGGUAGCUCCACAAUGACAUCCUUUGGAAAUGUGCACCACCUCCGACUUGAUCAGCUGGGCUGUACAACCUUAAUGGUAUAGAAGAUUCCAUGCAGUUUCAAGUCGUCAUCCAACUUUUAGAUGCAAGAUCUAAAGGCCCAUGUGGUACUUUAAUAUCUUGAUGAUUUACAGCUGGGAUUGAGACUUUGUCCAAACUUUCACUCCAUUUGUAUAAACCUUUCAUGCUGAUUGAGAACUCUGCAAAUGAAGUCUCUGACUUUUAUUUACACUUUAUGAAAAUUGAGUUGUUCUCAAGUGACCCUACAUCUCACCUCAGAGUGGUGAAAAUUCACAGCCACGGAGCGUGGAUUCAUGCAGACUGAGGGCUCAGUUUGUAGAUCUGAAUCUACAGAUAUUCAAAGAGAUUUUUCCCAGGGGAAAACAGUCAAAUGUGGAUGAUAAAAGUGAGUGAGUAAUGUACUGAGAGCAUAUCUUCUUACUGCAUUUGCUCGGAGUGUCUGUUUAUGAUGAAUGUAAAGCAGACCCAACAGCAGAGUUCAGUUAGGGGUGUGCGUUUAUGUGCUGGGAUUUUAUGUCUAACAUGGCCUGUUAGGCUUUUUGAAAAGGAAAAACAUAAAACCUUGCCUGUUUUCUUAAAAAAAUGCAUUACUGUACUGCUCUUCGUGUUUUAAAGUACUGAUAAAAAAAAAGAAAGAAAGAAAGAAAGAAGUUGUUUAUAUUAUUUGUAUUACCUUAAGCCCCAGGAAGAACAGACACAACUCCAUUUGCAAGCAAAUAUAGCUUGUGUUGGAUUGAAUAGCCCAAGAAGGUGUCAUUAUUCGUUUCUCAGAAUGCAUCAGCUUAACGUCUUGCUGAGGUUCACAUACAAACCCUACAGCAAAGCUGGACCUGCGAGCAGAACAGCUCCUGCCAAGAAAACAAAGACCGUAUCAGCUGGAUGGUAGGUGCCUGUGAUGUGUGAGGGAUAAGCAGAGAGCUGUGGAAAGAUUUCUGAGAAGGAACCACAUCAGUGUGCUGGGCCAGCGCUCCCUUGGUGCCUGAAACCUCCAGCUGCUGAUGUUCUGGAGUGAGAAAAUGGGCAGAGAGAUUAUUUUUGAAUUUUUGAGGGCUGGUUUUGCAUCUUGGCCCAUCUUUUUCUGGAAACGGUUAGUAGUUGUAACUGACUCCCAGAUGUGUGGCUAAAAUAAUUUGCUUUUAUUAAUAUUCAGAUAUGAGAAUCCAGAAAUAAAGUGGGGAA
RNAcentral lists this long non-coding RNA (4884 nucleotides) under Gallus gallus (chicken). RNAcentral's name for it is "lncRNA (ENSGALG00010003744.1)". Lineage: Eukaryota; Metazoa; Chordata; Aves; Galliformes; Phasianidae. The record is from RNAcentral.